This is a long non-coding RNA of Theobroma cacao (cacao), 1091 nucleotides long. RefSeq lists it as uncharacterized. The record is from RefSeq and is a predicted model, not a curated record. Lineage: Eukaryota; Viridiplantae; Streptophyta; Magnoliopsida; Malvales; Malvaceae.
AAAACACCCUCUCCCUGGCUCCCUCACUCCUUAUUUGAUUAUGACCCAGCUUGUUUUUGCCUUCAGAUCUCUCUCUUCUCCUCCAUAAAUACCUUCCUCUCACUUUCAGUACCAUUGCUUCAAUUUCUUCUUCUUCUUCUUCCCCCAUGUGCCUCCAGUGAAGAUAUUGGAGAUCAUCUGCAUCAUCCCAAAGCGUGCAGUACUCAAUGCAUUUCCAUUCAAAGCAUAACCAUGACAUGAAAUGCAUACAAUAUACAUAUACUUAUAUCAUGCACCAUGCAUAUGUUUAUGGCAUCAUCAUGGCAUCCGUGUAUAUAUGUGCCUGGCUCCCUGUAUGCCAUUUGCAGAGCCCACCGAGCAUCGAUGGUCUCCGUGGAUGGCGUAUGAGGAGCCAUGCAUAUAUUCCAUGUAUAUAUACUUGUCCAUGAAUAUUUUUCUUUUGCAGGGAUUUUCCCUUUUUUUUCUUUUUCUUUGGUUUCACAGGCUGAAAGGGUACCAAUGUAAUUUUCUUUCCAAGGAUGCGGCGGGGUUUUGAGGAACCGUGUGAGGGGGGGUCGGUUGUGGGACUCUUAUUUGGACCCCUUCGGACUGCAGGAUUCCAACCAUGCAGAGUUAAUAGCUAUCAAACAUGCACUGCAAAUGUUUGCUUCCUCUCCUUAUGUUGGCCUUAAAAUGAUUGUAGAGUUGCUUUGUCAUGUGUUCGUGAGCCACCAGGAAGGCCAUGAAUAGAAAAUUAUGAUGAUAUUAUUGGUAAUUGCUUACAAGUGAUUGAGAUUAUGACUCAGAGGAAGGCUGAUAAUACCUUUUGCUGAUUCAUUGACCAAGUUCGGUGGGGAAAGGGUGCUAUUUCGUACGGUUCUCUGCCUCAUUGGGCAUAUUGGACUUUGUUGCAUGGGGAGGAUAAUAUGGGCUACUUGUUCUUAUACCUUGUUUCUAGGUUGUCUGGGGUUUAACUAUCUGUGAGAUGCCAUGGGUUACUUUGUUAUCGUAGGAUUACAAUCCUGUUGGGUGUAUAGGGGUGCUGUAGAAUCUGGUGUUAUGAUAUGGCUACUUGUUAUGUUCCUUUGAAGUAAAAAACAUCCAUUAAAAUA